Camelina sativa (false flax) is the source of this 4084-nucleotide non-coding RNA. The record is from RefSeq and is a predicted model, not a curated record. Lineage: Eukaryota; Viridiplantae; Streptophyta; Magnoliopsida; Brassicales; Brassicaceae.
CUCGUCCGUCUUUCAGGUGGCGAAAGAGAAAAAAAAAAAAAAAGAGAGAAGAGUUAGGGUUUGAUUUGAUUGAGUUACGGCGGCGACUAACUAGGUUAGGGUAUUGAACAAAUCAGAGUCUUUCUUUUUGACAGUCCCCCGUUUGACUCAUUCAACACGGUCCUCCUAAAGGUUGUAUUGGAACUCAUUCAACACGGUCUUCGUCCCCGAGCUUUAAGUUCUUCGCCCCACACACAACAGACUUUCUUCACAGAAUUAGGGGAGGAGUGAUGCACACUAUAUGCAGGACGCAGCAACAACAAGGAUGGAAUGUAAAAUUUAUAUAUCCUUUUUUUUCUUAAUAUCUGUUAACUUGUGUGUGUGGUAAAAUUAAUCUCAGAACCGUGGACAAGACACUCAUUAUGCCCUCCUGCCCUGUGGAUCAUGCCAAAACCAGUUGGAGAUGUUACAUGUCCUCCAAAAGAUGGUUCACUUUCUUCAUAAAAUUCGGGAUGAUGCACGCUAAAUGACGCAGCAACAACAACGAUGGAGUGGAAAUUUAGUAUCCUUUUUCUUGAUCUCUCUUCUGGAAAUUUAUCAUAGAGCGGUGGAUUCGAGGAGGCUGCUUGCAUAUCAAACUCAGUGGCCAAGGUUGUACAUGAUGAGCUAGUGAAGUUGUGAUGGCUGCUGGAGAAGUAUCUGAGCUACGCUUUGCUAAACCAGGUCUUAAAGCCCUAGAAGACCUUUUCCUAAACAAUUAAACUUGGUGAUAUUAUGUUUUCAUGGAUGUUUGAUGAGAUUCAUGCCUUGAAGCAAUUUAAAGUUGCCGCUGAUCUCUUGGCCAAGAAAGAUGAUUUACCUCCACUAUAUGAUAGUUGCUACGUUUCUCUGACUCUAAAUCUUCAUAUGUUUUCUUUUUCUUAUGGAUCCGACAAUGUUCCAUAUGUUUUGACAUGUCUCUUUCUGGUAGGUGCGUGUUGUGUUGGCCAUGGAAGAUACAUAACACAAGGAGCCAAGUGAAGGGCCCACAGCUGAUGUUUGUUCUGUUUACUGGUGGACUCAGGAAAGAAGCUGCUUGCAGAGCCAAACUCAAAGGCUAAGGCCCGUGAUUAGAGUUCCUUGUACUCAGAGCUGAAGUCAACGGUGCUCUUCUCCAUCGAGACAUGUAUGUAUGAAGCCAGAACUUAGGAGAGAUUGUGUCUGCUACAUGUCGUUUUUCACACCUUCUUGCUUCCUCUACCCGCAAUCCAGCUUCUAUCUUUCUCCUCCACGCUGAGACGAGAGCUAUGGAGUUUGGUGAAACCGAAGAGUGUUGUUGGCCAUGGAGGAUACAUAUAUCAGAUGGACCCAAGUGAAUAGCCCAGAUGUUUCUUCUGUUGACUGAAGUGUGGCUCAUCACUGCUAUGUUGCAGAUUGUACAUGAUGAUGAGCUUGAAAUUGUGAUGGCUAGUGGAUUCGAGGAAGGAGGCUGCGUGCAGAUAGUUAUAAUGCCUUGUAGGCACCGUGGAUCAUCCCAAAACUAGUAGGAGAUGUCACAUGUCCUCCAAAAGAUGGUCCACAACGUUGCAGCAGCUUCCUGCUCUUAUCAAGCUGCAUCUUUCGUGGCCAAUGUUGAUGAGUGGAAAUGGAAGUUAGGCGUUCUGUUGGCCAAUGAUAGCCAACAAGAAAUUGUUUCCAGAGACAAAAGGGAUCGAUGGGAUUAUGAGCAAAUUUCAAAUCUUGCCAAGAGAAUGGGACUGUACAGUGAGAUUUAUGGGAAGUGGUUGUCGCAAGCGAGGUUUCCUCUACCCAAUUACCGGCCAGAUUAGGAUGACAAUCGACCACAACGAGAGGUGGUACUUCCUUUGAGUUAGCAAAGAAGGGUUCCUGCAGAACACCUUGUGUUACUUUCUCUUAGAAGAAGUUGGUAUUUGAUAAUAUUUGAUCUCACUUCACUUCACUUCACUUCUUCUGAUACUUUGGCUCCCAUCAUCUUCUCCAUGGCAACAUUUGAAGAUCCUAACUUGAUUCUCCCUCACAGUGAUCAUUGUUUGAAUUGCUGCAGCAUGGCCAACUUGUUUUCGUAGCAGAUUGGAGCUCAAAAUCGGACGUGGAGUUAUUGAAUAUGAUGUAGCUUCUGGAAAGAUUAUCAUAGAACCGUGGACAACUCUUAUGCCCUUCAGUUGCAGUCCAAAAGAUGUGGAGUAAUUGAAUAUGAUGCAGCUUUAGGAAAGUUUAUCAUAGAACCGUGGAAAAAACUUAUGCCCUCACCUGUGGAUCAUCUCAAAACCAGUUGGAGAUGUUACGUUUGUCCUCCAAAAGGUUGUAUUGUUACAGAAUGAGGGGUGAUGCACACUAUAUGACGCAGCAACAACAACGAUGGAAUGGAAGAUUAAUAUCCUUUUUCUUAAUCUCUAACCGUGGACAAACACACAUAAAACUGUUUCAGCUCCAUUGGUCUCUGUGUGUCGAAAGUAGAUGGAAGUUUGGGUGCUGGUUUAUAUUUUGAUUGUAUUGUCACACGAGGCUUCCUUCAACAUUGGCGAAUCUAUAGAGAAUGGAGAUUUAGAUUCAGGAUGCUAACGCAAAGGCGACAGCAAAUAUCAGUCUGCUAAUUUUGGAUAGAAAGUAAAAUCUUUAUGUCAUCGAAAUUGACUGUCAGGAGACCUCUUAGAUUGAAAGAAGAAUAUGUUGAGGGUUUGGUGUAAUCCCCAACCGUCAUUGAAGAAUCAGUUUCUGAACAGCUAAUGGGCGCAUUGGGUCAAGCUGCCUCAAUGUUGUAGCAGCUUCCUGCUCUUAUACUUUAGCCAGCGGUCUUAGAAAUCCCCCGAUUUCACAGGAUUCGUAAUCUGGUUAAGAGGAUUGGAGCAGCUACUGUAGUCGAAGUCAGAGCCACUGGAAUUCCAUACACAUUUGCUCCUUGCAUCCCAGUUUGUAGAUGGGGUAGGUGUUAUGAGAGCUACAGCCAGGAUCACAAAGUUGUGGAAGACAUGACAGACGUCAUACUUGGUUCACAAAGAGAGCCUCCUUCCAACUAUAAGCAUGGCGUUCCAUUUGUUGGUGGUAGGGAUAAAGUUGCAGUAUGUGCCAAGCAUUACAUGGGAGAUGGUGGGACAACCCCGAGGAAAAAAUGAGAAUAACGCGGUGACUUCUUUACAUGGUCUUCUUAGUGUUCGCAUGUCUGCUUAUGCUGAUGCAGUUUACAAAGGUGUUUCCAUAGUGAUGGUUUCAUAUUCAAGCUGGGAUGGUGAGAAGAUGCAUGCAAAUACUGAGCUUAUCACAGGGAAGCUCAUUGAUUAUCCCCGUUGAUCCCAAGCUGGGGAAAAUGCUGAUAAUGGGUGCCAUCUUCCGCUGCUUUGACCCGAUCCUGACAAUUUGUAUGUAUAAUAAGGACUCAGUGUCAGAGAUCCUUUCCUUCCACCUCAAGACAAAAGAAUGCAAGUACAAGGACUCAUGAUUCAAUUUUUAUGAGUUAUGUUGGAGGAUCGUCUAUAAAGCUCUCCGGUGAUGAAUCCGUUCAGGAUCGUCUCUCGUCGACUCCUACUCUCGAACUCGCCUCUUCUCUUCUCCUCGAUUCCACUAAACGAUGCUUCAGGAUACGAGCUGCUGUUCACAAUGACUAGGGUCAACAUACAAAUCAGAGUCCCCCCGACUCAACACGACGACCUUCCUUUUCUUCGUUCGCUUCAAGUUCCGGUCGACAGACAACAUAAUGGUUCACUUCCUUCACAUAAUUGGGGAUGAUGCACACUAUAUAUGACGCAGCAACAACAACGAUGGAAUGAAAUUAGUAUCCUUUUCUUGAUCUCUCUUCUGGAAAGUUUUUCAUGAAACCGUGGACAACUCACUUAUGCCCUGCCCUGUGGAAAAACCAGUUGGGGAUGUCACAUGUCAAAAGGUGAAACUUUCUGUCUCCAAUCUCCACACACAAAAUGGUUCACUUUCUCUAUAGAAUCCGGAAUGAUGCACUAUAUGACGCUUCAACAACAACGAUGGUAUGGAAAUUAAUAUGGAGUUAUUGAAUAUGCAGCUUCUGGAAAGUUAUCAUAAAACAGCGGACAACAAUUAUCCCCUGUUAAGCCCUGUGGAUCAUCCCAAGACCAGUUGGAGAUGUCACAUGUCCUCC